GGUUAAGCGACUAAGCGUACACGGUGGAUGCCCUGGCAGUCAGAGGCGAUGAAGGACGUGCUAAUCUGCGAUAAGCGUCGGUAAGGUGAUAUGAACCGUUAUAACCGGCGAUUUCCGAAUGGGGAAACCCAGUGUGAUUCGUCACACUAUCGUUAAGUGAAUACAUAGCUUAACGAAGCGAACCGGGGGAACUGAAACAUCUAAGUACC
Molecule: ribosomal RNA, 209 nt
Filed under: Klebsiella planticola
Lineage: Bacteria; Pseudomonadati; Pseudomonadota; Gammaproteobacteria; Enterobacterales; Enterobacteriaceae
Description: Raoultella planticola partial 23S ribosomal RNA
Rfam family: Bacterial large subunit ribosomal RNA
Source: RNAcentral